RNAcentral lists this ribosomal RNA (482 nucleotides) under uncultured bacterium. RNAcentral's name for it is "bacterial SSU rRNA". It matches the Rfam family "Bacterial small subunit ribosomal RNA", at positions 501 to 986 of the family's 1533-position model. The record is from RNAcentral.
CUACGUGCCAGCAGCCGCGGUAAUACGGAAGGUCCAGGCGUUAUCCGGAUUUAUUGGGUUUAAAGGGAGCGUAGGCUGGAGAUUAAGUGUGUUGUGAAAUGUAGACGCUCAACGUCUGAAUUGCAGCGCAUACUGGUUUCCUUGAGUACGCACAACGUUGGCGGAAUUCGUCGUGUAGCGGUGAAAUGCUUAGAUAUGACGAAGAACUCCGAUUGCGAAGGCAGCUGACGGGAGCGCAACUGACGCUUAAGCUCGAAGGUGCGGGUAUCAAACAGGAUUAGAUACCCUGGUAGUCCGCACAGUAAACGAUGGAUGCCCGCUGUUGGUACCUAGUAUCAGCGGCUAAGCGAAAGCAUUAAGCAUCCCACCUGGGGAGUACGCCGGCAACGGUGAAACUCAAAGGAAUUGACGGGGGCCCGCACAAGCGGAGGAACAUGUGGUUUAAUUCGAUGAUACGCGAGGAACCUUACCCGGGCUUGAAC